GAUGAACGCUGGCGGCGUGCCUAACACAUGCAAGUCGAACGGAGUCGUUUUGGAAAUCUCUUCGGAGAUGGAAUUCUCGACUUAGUGGCGGACGGGUGAGUAACGCGUGAGCAAUCUGCCUUUAAGAGGGGGAUAACAGUCGGAAACGGCUGCUAAUACCGCAUAAAGCAUUAAAUUCGCAUGUUUUUGAUGCCAAAGGAGCAAUCCGCUUUUAGAUGAGCUCGCGUCUGAUUAGCUAGUUGGCGGGGUAACGGCCCACCAAGGCGACGAUCAGUAGCCGGACGAAGAGGUUGACGGGCCAGAUUGGGACGGGAACCCGGCCCGGGCUCUAACGGAGGGCGGCAGGGGGAAUUAUGGAGCAAUGGGGGAAACCUGAAGAAGGCACCGCGGCGGGAUUGAGAAGGCCUUCGGGUUGUAAAGAUCUUUAAUCAGGGACGAAACAAAUGACGGUACCUGAAGAAUAAGCUCCGGCUAACUACGUG
RNAcentral lists this ribosomal RNA (482 nucleotides) under uncultured bacterium. Its description in RNAcentral is "partial 16S ribosomal RNA". It matches the Rfam family "Bacterial small subunit ribosomal RNA", at positions 28 to 507 of the family's 1533-position model. The record is from RNAcentral.